Molecule: non-coding RNA, 305 nt
Organism: Paramuricea clavata
Lineage: Eukaryota; Metazoa; Cnidaria; Anthozoa; Malacalcyonacea; Plexauridae
Source: the annotation of a GenBank genome assembly
CAUUCAUAUAAAUAAUAUACAAUUUAAGUCUUUCGUUUUGUAUUAUCGUUCUUGUUUCCUUCGAUAAAACUGUCGACAUCAACCAACACGAACCUCGAGUCGGAUAUGAUAUGUCAUAUUUUCCGUUUCAGGCUGGUUUUAAUGCAGGUGACGGGAUUAGAUAUUUUAGUAUUCCAAACUCUCGCACUCCUGCCAUUAUCAACAUUACUUCAACUUCAAACUAUCAAGUUCCUGGGUUGUGGAUAUUUCAAGUGGAUGGAGAGUCUGUUAAAAAUCAUGGUUGUACAUCGAGCGGCGGUAUGGUA